UGGGCGUUGCGGGUGCUAUACAUGCAAGUCGAGCGAACUGAUUAGAAGCUUGCUUCUAUGACGUUAGCGGCGGACGGGUGAGUAACACGUGGGCAACCUGCCUGUAAGACUGGGAUAACUCCGGGAAACCGGAGCUAAUACCGGAUAACAUUUUUUCUUGCAUAAGAGAAAAUUGAAAGAUGGUUUCGGCUAUCACUUACAGAUGGGCCCGCGGUGCAUUAGCUAGUUGGUGAGGUAACGGCUCACCAAGGCAACGAUGCAUAGCCGACCUGAGAGGGUGAUCGGCCACACUGGGACUGAGACACGGCCCAGACUCCUACGGGAGGCAGCAGUAGGGAAUCUUCCGCAAUGGACGAAAGUCUGACGGAGCAACGCCGCGUGAGUGAUGAAGGCUUUCGGGUCGUAAAACUCUGUUGUUAGGGAAGAACAAGUACAAGAGUAACUGCUUGUACCUUGACGGUACCUAACCAGAAAGCCACGGCUAACUACGUGCCAGCAGCCGCGGUAAU
Molecule: ribosomal RNA, 509 nt
Filed under: Priestia paraflexa
Lineage: Bacteria; Bacillati; Bacillota; Bacilli; Caryophanales; Bacillaceae
Description: bacterial SSU rRNA
Rfam family: Bacterial small subunit ribosomal RNA
Source: RNAcentral